Long non-coding RNA from Haliotis rufescens (red abalone), 1756 nucleotides. RefSeq lists it as uncharacterized. The record is from RefSeq and is a predicted model, not a curated record. The transcript has 4 exons. Lineage: Eukaryota; Metazoa; Mollusca; Gastropoda; Lepetellida; Haliotidae.
AUUGUUAAACACUGCAGUCAGCAAUAUUUAACCUAUAUCAUGGCGAUCUGUAAAUAACUGAGUCAUCAAUAAGACGGAUCACCUGAGCCAUGUCAAGGUACAACUAAGACACACAAUAAGCCAAGUCCCAGAGCCAGACAACCCGUUCCCUAUGUCUGAGUCGGCCAUAACCACAGGCAUGAGACACUGGGGACCCUACCCUGGCCCAGAAUCCCCACCAGGGUUAAACCCAAGCAGAUGACCUGGUGAUGUGAUUGACAGGUGUCUGACAGUAGGACAUUAACAAUGCCCCUGGGUUGUCAAUAUCAUCUUUAGUGUGUUAAAGCAUCUACCAACAAGGAACAAAGCAACAGAAACACAUCUCAAGGAAAUCGUCUUGACAUACUGGCUUUGUGAAAACAGUGAUGAAGCCGAAAAUAAAAAGUUACCUGAGGUUGGGCCAAGUUUGGUUUGUGUGGCUAUAUGAUGUCAGUCUGAAGAUUAUCAAGUCUAGACCCGACAAUCAAGUGACUGUCAUCACGAGCAUUGAUCCACGCAUUUGGGAUACGCUGACGGGCAAGCAUGGGUUGCUGAAGACCUAUUCUACCCCGGAUCUUCACGGGUGCAUAAUACAUGCAGACUGCAGACAUGAUACACUAGUGCAACAUGAUAAAUGAGGAUGGUUUCUUACACAGGUUAUAUAUCAAAAUGUUUACCUCUGUUUAACAUAUUUACCUAACAUUAUUAAUAGGCCAAAUAUUUCAACUCUACAAAAUUACUAAAUGUGAUGGUUCUCGAGUACCUGAUAUCAGCUUAACAUUCCUUUCUGUCUACAUUCCAGAACAAUUAUAGCUUGUAUGUAUGGAUCUAUACCAGUAAAUCAGUUUAAGUGAUUUCUUUCUGAAUCAGCAGAAACAGACAGCAUGUGACAGUGACUAUGCCUCAGAUGCUCGGCCAUCUCUCUCAUGUUUCUGACUAAUGAUUACCAGUAGAGUGUGAACAUGUCACAGCCUUGAAUGAAAGGCGUAUCUGUGAUCCUCCUUUUCUUUGAGAAAAUGUCAGAAUUGUAGUGUUACCAUUCCAUUAACCAUGGUCAAAUUGUUAAAAAUGUUAUCAUUUUACUGUUUGUUUAAACAUUUUUCUUUAUCAUUAUUUACAAGCCUGCACAAAAUUAGCUAGACUAACAUCUAGUCCCUGAAACUUUUACACAAAAAACAGCGGUUAAAUUAUCUAAUAAAAUAUGAAAAAAGGAGCCUAGCAACUUACAACACUGUCCUGAUACUACAGCACUCUACACUUACAAACUAUUAUACACUUCCACGGGCUGUAUUGGAUAUUUGUUUCAGGGUCUGCAUGACAGACUAAAAAUUAGCCUUAUAAACUUCGAAAUGUGUGUAUUUUAGCAGCUAUUUGACUUCCCGGUAAAUAAACUGAGAACUGGUGUUACAUAUGAUGGUUAUUUGUGUGACUAUCUUGUGAUGUGUAUCUAAACUCUGUAACAGCACUGAUCAAUAUUUACAUAACUAGGCAAUAAUGAGAUACUGAUGAGUUGUUUUCUUGUUUGUUUCAACAAGGAGUAUCCAGGUGUGCAUACAUUGUGUCACGUGAAGCUAAAACUGUCAAUCUAGUUAUACUUUCCGAGGUAAUGUCAAUGAUGCUGUCAAUUGAAAUAAUUAUAUCAGUGAUUGUCCUUGAGGUUGUUUUCUCUAAAUUACUGAAUCUGAAUAUUACAGUAAGACUAUUUAAAUAGCAGAUGUCUAUAUAUAGUAUAUGUAAA